CUUUACAAACAAAAUCCCGAAGUUAACAAACAAAAUUAGGAAGCUGUGUUUGUAAUAAAAAUGUGAAGGAAAACCAUGUUCUAAUUAAUAUCUGAUUAAUAUUUAUCCUUUAAUCGACUAAAUAUGUAUUAAAUUGAAACCAUUAGGAUUGUGGUGAUGGUUGCGACGUGGCAACGAGAGGAGUUGGUGAAAUCGAAGCAUGUGGUGAUGUUGAAGUUGAAGAAGGUUUGAAUGUGGUUAACUCUGAUAUUCUGAAGGCUAAGAAAGGUAAGAUGCCGGUGGUUUGUUCGGAAGUUGGAGAUGCAGAAGUUGGAGUAAAUGGUGUUGUUGUUGAUGAAGGCAGUGUGAAUCAAGUAAACAUGAUGCUUCGCCGCCAGGAUGAUGUUGCUAAUGGAUCUCGUCUUCAAAGGUGGAUUUGACACUACUCAUGCUGCAGCAAGAUAAAUUUCAUAUUUGGUUAUUAUUUAUUUAUUAAAUUAUUAUUUUCUUGAGCAUAUGAAAUGUUUUUCGUUGAUUUUUGUUUUUCGAGCUGCAAUCAAGUUUUGUGGUGUUGAUGUGGAUAUCAAUUUCAACUUUAGUGAUUAUGAUGAUGAUAUAAAGCAGAUGAGUAACUUUACGAAGGAAGAGUUUGUGCAUAUUUUGCGUAGACAGAGCACUGGUUUCUCAAGAGGAAGCUCCAAAUAUAGGGGAGUUACUUUGCAUAAAUGUGGGCGAUGGGAAGCUUGUAUGGGACAGUAUCUUGGGAAAAAAUAUAUAUCUUGGGAUAUUUGAUAGCGAACUAGGCGCAGUAAGAGCGUAUGAUAAGGCUACUAUAAAAUGCAAUGGAAGGGAAGCAGUUACUAAUUUUGAGGCCAUCUCUUAUGAAGGGGAGUUAAUUUCCCAUGCAAUGGAAGUGAAGCAGUUACUAAUUUUGAGGCCAGCUCUUAUGAAGGGGAGUUAAUUUCCCAGUCUGAUAACAAAGGUAUUUCAUUCAGCUUUGUGAUGGCUUCUUGGGCGCUAAUGCGUUAAAUUGUUGUGUUGAUUUCGUGUUUGCAACAGAUAAUGAAAUCUUUGGCCAGUGACGGUGAAUAAUAGUAACCAUUCAAGUGAUUUGGUUGUGUUAAUUCAUAUAAAUCUUUUUGUGUUAAUCCUUAUUAUUAAUAUUAUUACUAUCUUUUAUGUAUACUCAAACUUGUGAUUUGUUUGUGUUUUCAUGUUAAGUAUAAUGUAUUAUCAACAUAGUUGAUGCCAUCAUGUGACUCCUUGGGUCGAGGCAUGUUCAAAUCGAUUAUGUCUAUAAUUACAUUAGUGUUUUGGUUUUACUUAUUUGUUGUGGCAAUAUACAAUUCAAUUGAUA
Cicer arietinum (chickpea) is the source of this 1336-nucleotide RNA transcript. It is a transcript of the gene named floral homeotic protein APETALA 2-like, with no coding region annotated. The record is from RefSeq and is a predicted model, not a curated record. NCBI's taxonomy places the organism in Eukaryota, Viridiplantae, Streptophyta, Magnoliopsida, Fabales, Fabaceae.